RNAcentral lists this non-coding RNA (30 nucleotides) under Mus musculus (house mouse). Lineage: Eukaryota; Metazoa; Chordata; Mammalia; Rodentia; Muridae. The record is from RNAcentral.
UGCAAUCAAAAUCACUGUGAGGCCAUUUAC